Long non-coding RNA from Eleginops maclovinus (Patagonian blennie), 687 nucleotides. RefSeq lists it as uncharacterized. The transcript is spliced from 2 exons. The record is from RefSeq and is a predicted model, not a curated record. Lineage: Eukaryota; Metazoa; Chordata; Actinopteri; Perciformes; Eleginopidae.
UUUUCGAUUAUGCACCCCCAAACGGAAAAUGGAAAAUGAAACAUUCGGAUAACAAAUCCUGGGAAUGUUAGUUGUCAGGGAAACCGAUCGCGAGCCAACAACUGACUCAUGCCACAACUGAUCUGUAAGGAAACAUGGCUAAUUUGGAGUCUCACUACGAGAUGAUAAAUCAACUCUUUCUGUCGGGGAAAACUCACGCCGAAAUGUCUGAGACAUUGAAGAGUAUGGGAAUUAAGGGGUCCUCGGAGAUGUCGGUGAGGAGAUUCUGUGGCGACGUUGGGCUGAGACGGAAGGGGCACAUCACAGACCAAGAGCUGGAAGAAGCUGUCCUGACAUCUAUUCAAAAGCAAUGUGAUGUUCCUGAUUUGGGAUCUGCUUCUCUUGCGUCUGUUUCCGAAGAGUCUUACUUUGUUAUCCCACCGGACAGUGUCCUUCAAGUUCCAUUGGAUAGGCCACAGUUCUCCAAGACUUCAUCUUUAUUCCUCAACAUUAUUCUCUGCAGUCUAUGACAUCACUCCUGCUUAAGCUUCUCUACGCUGACUACCAUAAGAAUUAAGAUUUAUGAUAGAGGACCCUCUCAUCCCCUUCAUCAACUCCCACCAGACAGGAGAUUCAAUCUACUACCACCAACUACAAGAACUCCUCAGCAGAAAGCUUUCUUAACGGACAAUAAAGUUUAUUUAUCUA